Long non-coding RNA from Numida meleagris (helmeted guineafowl), 12271 nucleotides. RefSeq lists it as uncharacterized. Lineage: Eukaryota; Metazoa; Chordata; Aves; Galliformes; Numididae. The transcript is spliced from 3 exons. The record is from RefSeq and is a predicted model, not a curated record.
CCCAUCUUUCCUUCCCAAGGUUUUCCAUUGUUAGCAGAGUAAUUGCUGACCCAAAUAAGUGUAUUGUUCUCUGAGGCAAUGUGAAUAAUUUUAUUCUGAACUGAUAAGGCUCCUCCCUGACUUUUCCUCACUUGGAUCCAUUACCAGAAAGAUUGUCCCCAUCUGACUUGGCAGUUCUUACUGGAAUAACCUCAGAUGUUCUCUGUACUCCAAGCAAUUUGACCCCUUUCCUUGUCUUCAGCAGCUCAUUAACUCAAGAAGCACCAAAAAAACAAAAAUCUUACUGGAGAAGGAAGAUCCCAACAAUUCUCCAAGGGCUUAUCAUUCUUCCACCUCAUCAGUAGAUGCAGUACUGAGAUAAGCGUGGUAUCAAGACGGUUCAUCUCAAGCAGGGGAACAACUCGUAGACCUUGGCAACAACCCUCACAACUGUGGUUUCAGGCAACACUGUAUUUUAAAGAUAAGUAAAUGGGGCCCUCUCUCUUACUUUAAAUUUUGAUGAUGCUACAUUAGGAUUUUGGUUCGGAGCAUCUGUGCAGCUCUGAAGCAAUCCCCCAAUCAUUCCUUUCACUGCAGAGGUUACUCCGUUCACAGAGUGGCUUAGUGAGCAAGAUUCCUUUGGUGGGAGACAAAACCAAAACCUCUGCUCUAGAACAACCCUCAGGGACAUGGGGGUCCCAAACCAUAUCCUUUGGAUAUUGUUUCAAGCUACAUGCCUGGUGGGGGCAUUCUGUUCAAGAGACCAAGCUACUUCUUAAUUUAAAUAUACAACCCAGAACCACAUAAAGUGUGGACAUGAGGACCUCUGCAGGAAACCACUGCAGAUACUCAUCAAGUUAUUUUGUGUUAAGCUGUUUGUAGUUGUAUAGACAGCCUUGUAGAAGCUCAAUUAUGAAUUUUGUCGCUUUACAGUUAGUUACAGAUGCUAUCAUGAGCAAGACUUGAGAUCUGACUCUCUCCAUAACACUUUCUAUCAUUACAGCUUUUCCUUUUGUUCUGACUCCUGUGAAUCCAGUUCUGAGGUGCCUACAGGUCCAAAGCAUCAGUUAAGAGAAAACAUUUGGGCAGGCCAGGAGCCUAACCUCCCUGAAGCAGCAAAAUCACCUGCUUUAAAUAUUAAACAUAUACUUAUGCUAUUUAUUGCAUAAUGUAUUUAGAGCAUACAUAUUAUUUAAUAUGCUAUUUACAAUUAACACCUUGAUUAGAUGCUAUAAGGCAAUGUGAUUUUUUUCUGUUGAUCUGGCACAACAUCCACGCUACUAUCUUAGUCUUCAUACUUGGAUGUAAUAGUGGUGACUUGUGUGCAUGUAUCCGUAACACAGUUACUGAUAAUUAUCUGGUUACUUUCCUGAGCACUAAUUGUUUAAGUCCCAGCAUCAGCAUUAGAAAAGUCUAGCUGAUGGGAAAAGAAUGGGCCUGGGACAGUGCGAUGAAAAAGGAAAUGUAAAAACAAAUUUUCCUGGUGAGGAUUAGCCUAGGGCUUAGGUAGCAUUAUUUGAAUUGGCUUCUUCCUUUAACAAAUAAGCCUCAAAGAGAAUGCUAUUUGGCUCUAUAACGAACACUCAGUUGGCUUCAAACCACAAGAGGUACUACCAAAUCCCAGUCUAUUUGCACUGUUUUCUGGUGGCACACACAUGUUUUUGUAUGCUGGUCAUAUAUCCCAUGCAUUCCCAUUGAAACAUCAUGACUUGUAUAACUUCUUUUUCUUUUUAACCUGACCUAGCUUGCUUUUAAAUCCAGCUGUGUCUUUUCACCUGAGGUGAGGCUUUUCAGUUAAGCAACAUUAUGUAAACACGGAUUGUAACAUUCCCAAACCCACAGUUAGUCAACAAAAGAUCAAACGAAUCAACAAGCUUUCACUGGAGCCAUCAAAGUCGCUCAGACUUCCUCAGCGAGAACUGCCAGCUUAUAUCUUAUUUUCCUCCAAAGGUAAAGAUAAGGCUAUUUGUCUUUCUUUCACAGUUACAAAUAAAUAAAGAAAAAAGAGACAGUAGUUUAAAAUGAUAUCUUAAUCAAAUCUGUUCACUAAGGAGUUUAUGUUUCAAGCCUUUACCUGCAUUCCAGACUGAAGUCAAAAUGUCAAACUUUCCUCCUUUAUCUUCUGUCCUUGACUCAAGGGAAGAUCCAUAUCUCACAAAAUGAAACAAAUGUUUUCCUUAAAAUGUUUCAGUAGGCCUCAAUUUUUGUAAAACAAGCCACUUCUCCAGCAGGUGCUUUGGUUUUAGGCAAUUAAAGUAAUUGUCACAAGUGCUACAGCUGCUGAAUAAGAGGAGAAAGAGCAACUGGGCUGGGGAGGGGAGAGAGAAUGUGUACAGUAUGCCUGAGUGAGAGUGAAGGUAGACGGGGAGGAGUUUUUUAAAAGUCAGUAAAUGCUUAUUUAAUGUGUCUUCUUAAUAUUUAAUCUAUUUUUAUUCUAAGUGUAUACCAAUAUCUCAUCCAUGUUCUGCUGUUUCCUAAAUCACCUCUGCUAACUGGAGCAGUUCUGGUUGUUCAGAGAACAAAUGGCACAGUACAAACUGUGGAAAGCACAGUUACAAAGGAAAGUAUGCAGAAAUAUGGUUUGUUUGGUCUUUUACACAAAAGACUAAAAUGAAGCAGUGUAGACUUAGAAAGUAGCUGCCAAGGAGAGAAGGAGAAACAGCUUUUCAUGUCCAUUGAUGAUAGGACUAAAAGAAGUUGCCUUCAAUGGCACUGAGAGAACUUCAGGUUGGCUAUCAGGGGAGAUUCUUCUAAGAUGAUUAAUUUCGUGCUAAAAUAAUCUUGUCCAAGCGUUUGUGAGAUGUGCUUCACAGGAGUGUUUCUUAAACAGCUGAGGCAGAGUGUCCUCAAGCUGUGUCCUUCAAGUGUCCAAAGAACAACUGAUUCUGACUUAGACGAAUGAGCUGUAUGAUGAAGAACAUUGAGAUCUCAUCCAGCGUUAUCUCCCAAGAUCUCCUUUUAUGUCUCAAAAAAAGCCUUGGAUUAAGGCAGGAUUUAUGGACCCAGAAUUGAUUCCAAGUUCGGCAUAGUUCAUUCCUUAAUCAAAAUUUUUGGUGUGCACUGCUUUCUUCCUUCUCGUUUAUCCUUUAAGCUCAUGCAGUGUAGAGUGGAAACUGAAAUCCAAGCAAGGUACCAGAACUUGGAGAACCUUUGGCCAGCAUAACCCUCACUUAUAGAUCUUCCCUUCUUAUUAAUCUCAUAUUCUUGAAGAGAUUUUUCACCUGCUAUGGUCUAAUCCCACCUAUGCUUAACCUGAUUCCUUUUUCCUUUCACCUUUUGUCUUUUCAAGUUACACCUCCUCCUUACCACAGAAAAUGGGUAUCUCAGUGUUUGUGUACAACAGCUUACCUGUUUGGGAUGUUAUGGUUGGAAAUAAUAUCAUGGACAGAGACCGUCAAGCAGAUGUUUGUUUGUGAUCUAACAGAGAAUGAUUUGCUGCAUUGUAAGAAGUCACAGGGUCACCAGGCAUCUGCAUUUUCCAACAUACUUCUGGUUAUUCCACUCAGAAGUUUUCUCUGCAUGGACCCUGAGGACUUCAGUGUGUUCCUCCAGUAUUUCUAACCAUCUCGUGGCUUGAGCAGGGAUGGAGGCCCAGUCAGAACAGUUGCUCCAGAGAACAAAGCCAAAGCUUGGGGAGAAGGGGAGGUGAUCUGCAUACAAAGUCACUGUUUCUUUCCCUGUAAUUCUGAGUGCAACUAGCAAAAGAGGAUGCCAUGCACAAAGAAAUACGUUUCCAAUGCUAAAGUGCAGCCAGGAAGAGGUUAAAAAAAUAUUUUGGUGCAUGUAAAAACAUCUGUAAAAAUAGUUCGCUACUGUAAAUCAUUUUUCUUUCUCCUUCUGUUUUACACCUCUGAGGAUAUUUCUGACUGGAUAUUUUUUGGGAGCUGUCCUUUAUAUUACUUGCUUCCAUACAAAGAACUUCAUCAGUGCUAAACCUGGGCCAAUGCUGUGUUUCUGGAGGUGGAGGUGCUCAGACAUCACACAACAAGGCCUAGUCCUUGCCCCAUGGACAGCAAUUGUGGCAUAUGGGUGUAAACCCACUGACAUCUUUGAAAUUUGAUCUGCGAUUAUUUUAUAUUAUUUUAUAUUUCUACCUUUCGAUUCCAAAACAGGUUCCCAUUCUAUACUCCUCAGUGUUUCUCAUAGCAGGAAUCUGCAGAUCGCUCCUCUGGAGUUGCAUUUUUCUCAACUAGCCUGAAGGAAAUAUUUUUGCAACGCUCCAUUUUUUGUAAGAUAAAUGGUAGUUUGGUGGUUAGACUAGAUGACCUUAGUGGUCUUUCCAACCCUAAUUAUUCUAUGAUUCUAUUAUUCUAUAAUUCUAUGAUUCUACGAUUAUGGUAUGGUAUGUAAUGCUUGCUACCAGCAUAUUCCAAUUCCAUCUGCUAGGCUAAAAGGAAUUAAUAUUAGGUCACUGAAGAUAUUUGGAUGUCCCUGCUAACUCCUUUACGUAAUCAUACAUUGCAAAGCUUCCUGCUGUUCUUCUGAGCAGUCUUGUCCUGCCCACUUGACUGAUAUCAAGCAAAUAUUUCAGCAGGAAAGUUAAAUCCAGCUUUUCUGUGUACUUUCAAGCAAAUGACUGUCUGCUUUAUAACUGCACCAAAACUAUCAGCUUUUUAUUUUUUUAAACAACGGCAUGUCUAGAUGAGUGUCAUGCACUUGGUUUUGUACUGUAGAUUUUCUAUCUCUUCCUUCCUCAUAAAAUCUUAUAGACCAAAAGCCCCCACCAUUUAGAAUCACUGCUAUCUCUGCUUUGUCUUUUAGAUGCUCUUUCCACAACCCCCACUUCAGAACUAUCUCCCACCACUGCCACUCUGCCAUCCCACCCCUCGCUGAGCUGCAGACCUUGUGUGAGCCAUGCAUGCUGCCCCCAGAGCUGGCCCUGCCCUUUGUCCUUAUCUCAAUAGCAAGGCUCAGCAAAUUGUUUCUCAUGUCAUCCUGUACAGGCUGCCAGCGCCUCCCAUCAUCACUGGCCUCCUGUUUCAACAGAACUGAAAUAAAGGAGUUCUGGUUAUUCCACUGAUAAAAAUCUUUAUUUCUUGAGUAACAGUAAGAAAACCUCCAGGUACAGUCAAACACUUCCAGGAGAGUGAAAAGAAACUUUGUUUGAAUGACUUGAGUGACAGAUCCUCUUUCUUCAUCAGGCAGAUAAAGCAAAAUGCUCCACCGGUGCCGUCUGGAAGCAGCUAACUGCCUGUUGCCAGGCCACCCGCUGCCUUCAUCUCACAUCCCCAUCACUUCUCUGGGUGCACCCACACACAAAAUGCGCUUGGAGCAGUGCAGAGAUCUCCAGCUGCUGAUCAGGGGUGGAUUCCUGGGCUUCAAACUACGGUUUUGGCUGAGCAUCAUCAAGUUUUCAGAAUUACAAGCCGCUGCAGUAUUUCCCUGGAGAAUCAAACUCACUCACUCAAGCUGAAAUAAUUAAGCCUCCUCAUUUUACCCGCCCUUCCUGAGGAGCACUGGGAGGAAGAGACUCACAUGAAGGUACUAACUCCUCUGUCUCCUUCAGAUGAUAUGCAUCCAUCUCCAUUUUCACUUCUUCACGAUGACUUCUCCAGCCUCAUACUGCUGGCACAGGCAUUUUCAAUAACUCGGUGACUAAUAAGGUGAAGGAAUUCUCUACAUUUUCUUCCUGGAGAUUUAGUCUUCUAGGACUAAAUCCAUUCUCCUGGUUGUGCCCAUCUCAGACUUGGGAGUGGUCUAAGGAGGUCUCUUCAUCUGAGCAUUGCUGGCCAGGUAGCCUCAUGGUUGGUAGGACUCUAGUAAUCCCUAUAGGUUCUUGGGACUCUGGAAUAGCUAAAUGAGCACGCACCUUUUUUAUUCUUGUAUUUUUUUUACUACUUUGGCGCAUAGAAUGGUAUUUCAAUUCCAAAUAUAUACUUUUUAAAAUUAAUCCUUAGGAAAUAAACUCUCCUUUUCUGUGGAUGAAGAGGCUAUUUGUUUCAGUCACAAUCUCAUUUUAUUUCAGUUUUGGAACAGUUUUGUUUUAUAUUUAGUGUGUCUGACAUGUGUGCUAUUUGCAAUUCAUUUAUUAUCCUAUGAAAACUAUUGCUCCAGUUUAUAAUUAUUGUUUCCCUCCCAGUUGCUCACAGACACCCCUUUGUAGUAUGCAUGUAAUAGGUUUUGGCAAAACCUUGAAUUUUUUUCAAAAGUUCAUUCUGUUAUUCAGUCUUUUUCAAAGACACUCCAAUAUCUAAUGCCAGUUCAGCUGUAUGAGGUGAUGCUGAUUAAUAGUGAUAGGUGCAAUGUUCAUGCUAGUCAGUUAUUCAGCUCUUCCAUUUCUGCAUUUUUGGAGAGUGACAUGACCUUUCCAUCCUGUUGCCUUGCAAAAGGUCUAUUCUUCUCAAAACUCCUUCCUUUGGAUAGAAAAAUGGAAUAUUCCUACCCAUGAGCUCCUCAUCAGAUGCCGAUGCCAUUUCAUGGAAAUUCUGUGUUCUCAUUUAAAGUAGAAAAAGUGUAUUUCUCACGUACAAAUUUCUUGGUGAUAACAUCUACGUUUGGGUGCUGAUGUCGUUCUCAUAAUGUUCAGGAGUUCAGUGCUUUCUGCUUAUGUGCAACCAACACAGGAUCUGUGUGAGAAGUGAGUCUGGGGUUCUGACCUUCUGGUAUAUCCAUGUCUACAUUCUUUGCACACAGUUAUAAAACUUCCUCGUGAAGCAAAAGUUCAAAAAUUCCUUUACAAGUAAAUGUCUAACGAAGCAUAGAGAAGUCACCUAUUUGUAAUGUAUUGAGUAUGUCCCAAAAGAGCUGCAUGAUUUUAAAAAAUAAAUAGUUUAUUCAUUGAAAAAUGCUGUCUACUCAAACUUAUUUGGAUAUUUCAGCUAAAUUAACUAAAGAAAUGCAAUUGGCUAGUAUUUGGGGGACCAUUUUCAACACACAAGCAUUCUGAUGGGGCAAUUUGUUUCAUCCCAAAGGUAAAGUUUGCAUUUGCUCAGGUGAAUCUCAGUCUAAAACUGCUCUUUGACUUUCCAGGAAACAUAAGCAACCAGCUCAGCUAUGGAUAUUGGCAGUGCAGAUAUUUGUGGUUACAGGGCUAUGUCCCGGCUGAUCCAUCCAAUGGGGAAAUAACAUCCUUUUGUUAGAAGCCUAUACCAGUACAUAACAAGAUCCUGAGAGCUGACAAGUUUUGUUUAAAAAGUCACGGGAUGAGACAGAUUGGUACAGACAAGGUUAAAAGUGUUAUUCAAGGUCAUUUAGCAACUUAAUGGCAAGGCUGAAAGCAGAGCAAGGUCAGUGCCUCAUUUCUCCAAACCAAAUUACUUCCCCUAAUUAUGUGGAGUAGCCCACACUUUGAAGGAAUGAACACAAAGGGCACAGGAUGCGUGAAAGCUGCAGCGAGGUGAAUGACUUCAUGGUGCACUUUUGGACCAUUAUUAGUUUUUCUCUGGGGACACUUUGAAAGAAAUAACUAAUAUGGACUUGAGUGAGGUACAGAUGCAAACAGAGAUGCUGGUGGGACAUUUAGGUACAGGAACAGAGAAGAGAAACAUGAAUCUGAAAGAAACAAACUGUACAUAAAGAAAGAAUCAGAGUCAUUAAGGUUGGAAAAGUUUACUAAGAUCAUCUAGUCCAAUCAUCAGCUCAUCCUCACCAUGCCCACUAAACCACGUCCCUUGGUGCCACAUCUCCAUAGUUCUUGAACACGUCCAGUGACGGUGACUCUACCACCUCCCUGCGCAGCCUGUUCCAAGGCCUCACCACUCUUUCUGAGAAGAAAUUGUUCCUAAUAUCCAACCUGAACCUCCCCUGGUGCAAAUUAAGGCCAUUACCUCUUGUCCUAUCACUGCUACGAGGGAGAAGAGGCCGACCACGACCUUGCUUCAACUUCCUUUCAGGGCAUUGCAGAGUGAUAAGUUCUCCCUUGAGCCUACUCUUCUCCAGCCUGAUCAAUCCCAGUUCCCUCAGACUCUCCCCGUAAGACUUGUGCUGCAGACCCAGUAUUUCCUUCUUACAAUAUUUACAUAUGAUAAACAUUGCUAUAAUGCAGCAGCCCCUGCUUGGCCUCCUUAUGCACAAGCACAUGAGAUGAUAUGCUUGCCACAAGUCUUUCAACAUGCCAGACAAAUCGUUUUUCCAGAGAAAAGACAAAAAAAGAAAUUCGAUGGAGGCUGGGACUAGAGAGACAAGAGGAAGGAGUGGGAACAGGGAGUGAUAAAAUGGUGAACACAGACAGGCAUUGGCUGUGCAGAGAUUCGCAGGGCUUUUUUAGCAGUAAACAGUAGCCUUUGUUCACUUGGGACAAUAGUACAGGGCUGCCCUAUGCCUCUCACCCUAUAGCCACUAUCAUUGCUGUGUUUGGCCAUAAAUUCACUCCUUGGAGACAUUCAAAAGUUGCCUGGGCAUGGUUCUAAGCACUGUGCUAUGGGUGUCCCUGCUGGAGCAGGGGUUGGGCCAGAGGUCCCUUACCAAAUCAGCCAUGAUAUGGUUCUGUGAUAAAAGCAGCAGAAGAACCAGAUGGGGAACUCUAAUUACAGGAUGAGUUCAAACUAAACUGGUAAAGAUUUUUAUUUUAUUUUUAUUUUUAAAUCUCAAAAUAUUCCUUGAAAGCAUUUCUUCACCAGCAGGUGAAGGGAAAUAGCCUGGUUAUGGUUUAAUGGACUAGCCCCAGAGAGCUUUUCAUAAAACAGUUAUUAUAAAUGAGAAAUGUUGUAAGAAUAGCUAAAAUUGGAAUUUACGCAAAGUAUGGUGCCUUUUAUUUGCAUAUGGCCUCAAUGAUUAUGUGCAAGAUUUGGCCCUCCCCAUAAUAAGUGCCACAUUCUGGUUUGAGAAACAUGAUGCCUUUGUUUUGGCAGAAAAUAAAUCUCUUAAGGUAAUCAAAAAUUCAUGUAACAUAGUCUAAAAAUAUUCCUUCCAAAACUGUGUGCCAGACAGGACAGGAGAAAAUAUUUGCCUUUGACCAGGAUAUUGAUCUAUAAAAUGUUUCUUGUCUCCUGUCUCCUUUGCCCCCUUGGUUUUCUUCCAAAUUUUCCUCUUCUGGUGCUUUCCAUGGAGUAAAGGGUUCUGGGAAGGACCAUCUUGAAACACAACUUUGCCAGCUAUCUCCUGAUUUUCAUUUACACUGAGGCUCUGUACACAGUUCUGGCAAUUCAGAGAGGGAUAACUAUGAUUUUUAGCUCUCUAGACUCCCCUCAAACUUGUAUAAGGACCUUUGUAUGAACGAGGACUUAAUAUACACAUUGCUGCAAAGUUGCUUUGGAUGCCCUUUCCCUUGCACAGAAAUUAAUGGAAGUGAACCUGGAAAAAAUGUUUCACUUCCUAUGAAAGUCAAUUCACCUCGAAAGGAAUCCUCGUAAAACCAGUACCGCUGGAGGCAAGGAUUUCUCUGAAUAAAGUAAGUGUCUGGGUGCUCGGGAGGUGGAUUUCCUAUUCACUGCUGUACACUAGUGGCUUUAUAAUGGUAUGGUGACAUAAAGCACCUGUAUUAACUUCAAAAUACAAGGAUGGGAUCCUUGGAACAGCAGUGCAAAGUGCCUGAGCUAGACCAGUGUGUCUGGCACUUGCUAUACUGGUUGAGGAAGCUCAUUUAGCACUCCUUACGUUGGCCACCACUCACCUCUUACAUCUUUUCAAGAUCAGGUGAGGAGAAAUUUUACCCCUCCAAGACAAAGAUUUUGUCUAAUGCCUACUUUUCUUCAAUGGCCAACAGUGUAAAAUAAUUACGGAAGCCUCUGGGUGAACGUAUAGUUACAAGACAAAGGGUCUGGAGUCAAGAUAGAUUGUUUUACAUUUAGCAGAAAUAGCAAAUUUCUGAGGGAUGGCAUUUCCAAACAACAAAUAUCCCAUCUGUCUCUUUUACCUGGCACCUGUCACACCAGAAUAGUGAUGGAUUCAAGUUUUUAUACAGCUGACUGCUGUUCCUGUGUCUCAUUUUUCCACUAAAGGGUCUGUUUCCCCAUUAGCAACUGUUUUUAAUUCAGACAGAAUAUGGUGCUUUGAUUCUGUGUUUGGCUUGGUUAUGCCUGGUCAAAGGGAGGUGGAGACACAUCUCAUCCUUCAUGUGACUGUCCUAACAGCUCUCAAAGGCUGCUGAUGGGCAGCUGUCCUUUAUACUCCCACACUGUACUUCAGGCAGACCAUUACAGAGAUAAAUAAAUAUAGCCUCCUAUUAAGCAUAAACAGACAUGUCUUUUGAGGGACACAGUCAGAUAGGAAAGAGAUUAAAUAUUGAAUUUACUUGCAGAGACAUAUGUUCUCUGUCAGAAAGGAGGAACAACACAGAGGUUUACUCUCAACUCAAUCAUUUCAAAGUGCAGUCAAUAAAAUCAGUGUAUAAUAGCUACCGGUAACCACAACCAUGCAUCAAAUGAACCAUCAUGGUUUUGAGGAAAAAGAGUGUAAGGAAGCCUUACAGUCAUUGGACCAAUCUUUUUCCUGGAAUUCUAUACUUCUAAAAUAGCUUAACAAAGCACUACCAAGAUCAAGGAAUAUUUGCUGUCAAAGACCAAAGAAAGCACUGGGUUUGUAAAUGGAGAGGCCUUCAGAGGCCAGAAGGAUCACUGAAAAUGGCCUUUCAGCUUCUCUUUCUCUCCUUUCUGGUCUAUAUUUUAGUUGCAGUCAUUUGUAGCUAUUUGAAGAUACAAAUCCUUCUUUUGAAUGCAUUCUUCUAAAUCAAUUCAAAUUUCACAUAGAUUAAGCUUGACAUCUGUUCAAGAUCCAUUACAUAAUCUGGCAUUCAGAAAUCUCAACAUACAUGCACGUAUCUUUGUACAUACAUGUAAGUACAUGGAGAGUAGCCAGCUAUUACAUUGGCAGUCAACAUCCCUGGAGGUGUUCAAGAAAUGUGAGAUGUGGCACUGAAGGACACGGUAUAGUGGGUGUGGUAGGGACAAGUUGAUCGUUGGACUAGAGGAUAUUAGUGGUCUUUUCCAGCCUUAAUAAUGCUAUGAUUCUAUGAUCUCUCACUUGAAAUCUGGAAGCAGUCUAAGCUGGUAACCACACAUCAGCCUAAUUCUUAACAUGGGCAUUCAGUGAGCUGUUGGGCACUGGGACAGCACUAGCUGCCAAACAGCUUUGAAAUGUAGAACCAAAACCCUGUUGAUCACACCUAGACCUGAAAUCACUGGAUCAUCCAAGGGGAAAUAUUGGAAAUUCUUCAUGUGAUGAAAAUGAGACACCAUCAUGCCUGCUGAUGAAAUUUGGUUAUGAAAAAAAGAGCUGGGAGUUCAUAAAUAAUGAACUGUUACGGUAUUAUACAUUGUCAUAUAAAAUGUGUUUCCUUCUUGGGAAGAGGCUCUGAAUGCCAUAACCUUGUGCAGCACACAACUAGUAAGCCAAUUAAAUUGUUCUGAGAGAGUGAAAGGAAGUAAUAUCCCUCCUGAGAAGAGCCUGAGAUCUUUCCUCAAGACACCAUAACUGUUCCUUAAACUCCAUGUCAGAUCAAGUAACUUGCAAUUUCCAUUGCAAAAGCAGGAAGGAAUUGGAUGAAAGAAUCACUUACUGCACAGAAACAAGAACUUUUACACAGCUUGGUUGAGUUCCUUCUUUCUCUAACUUCUUCUGCCAGAUCCUCUUAAAGAGAGCAAAAUUAAUGAUCUCAUACCACUACCUUUAAUGACAGUUUAUUACACUAAUUGGGAAUCUUGCUUUCAGUUUAAAACUGGAGAUGUUUCUGCUAUUCAUUAUUUUGUAUUUGUUAUAAAAACACAGUGCUGUGGGAAUGAGUCAUUUCAGUAACAACCUACCUUUCAACUACACUGCUGGUCCCUUUCUUAGACUAAUUAGAAUCACUUUAACUAUAUUUUAAAAUAUAUGAAUGUUUCUCAAAUUAUGCAUAAGUUCCCUCAUUCUGAGCCACUCUCAACUUCAUGCUAAAUAUUAGUCAGAAGGAAGAUGUUUCAAACAGCACAAUGGGACAGAACAUAAUGGAGACUCAUCUUCAUGUUUCCAGGACCAAAACCAAUGAAUCAGUGGAAUAGGUUCUCAUUAGAUGUUGUGUUAGUUUCUACUUUUAUUGCUGAGGCAAUGGUUUUCUGUAAAUUUGAAGAAACAACAGUGUUCAAAACUCUUAUUUGGGAGAUUUGCUGAUUUAUAGUAAUUUAUUAUUUGUAAUUGUAAAAUCAUUUUUCCCUUGGAGAUACUGAUAUCUUGUACUUACAUGCUCAGAAGGGCAUGCUGUUUCAUGAUCUGUCUUUGGAAAUUUCCCAUAAAUGUAAAGUAAACUAAUCCACUGAAGUGAAUGCAGUACAAGCACAACUACAUCAACGUGUUUCUUACAUAUUUUGGCAAAUUACUAGGGUCUGGUUAUCAAAUUUAUGAUGUUCUGCUCCUGUAAUAAAUAAUCUGUGAAUCUAUUAAA